UUACAGGAUCCUUCGGCAGACGGAUAAACAGGAGAACUGCUCAUCCAGCCUUGGCUACAGUGUGACGAACAAAAGCCAGAGAUGCUUAAUCGAGGAUAUUAACAGUAGAAUCACAGAAGGAACUGGAUCCAUGGGAAACAGACCUGCCUGGUGAACUGGGCUCAAUUUCAACCCUGGUGAUUCCACUGCAGACAAAGCUGGCAGAGUAAAGCCUUCAUUUCUUCUCUAUGGCGGCCCACCAAACCCUUGCCUCAAAAAUCUUCAGUUUAUGCUGCUGGGACUGUGAGGAACCUGUUGUUGAGACCACCAAGGUUCCAAGCCAAGAGAACCAGACACCAACCUACAAUUUGCUGAAGACUGAGAAGAAUGAGUUAGGCGAACAAAACCUCAAGAGAGCUACUACACAGCCCGUCAUUGGCCAAGAAAAGCACUCCUCUGCCAGCAGUGAUUAUGAAGAGCUGACCGCAUACAAUAUACAAACAGGAUACCCUAAAAGGAAUCUAAACCGCUACUACCAGGAACACUGGGCCCUCCGACCGUGUCUCAUCGGGAGACCCUGAGGGUUCUAGUGGCAGUUCCACACAGGCUCUGAGCUGCUCAGCUACUGGAGGGUCUCCAUGAGGAUGAAGAAGGCAGUGGACAGGAGUCAUGAAGACCGAUUCAGAAACUCCACCACAAGGAGGGAAGAGGUCUGAGCCAUCCCUGUGCCACUGGUUUUCCAGAGUGCCAGAUGCUCCCCAGUAACGGAAAAGAGAGUGAAGCCACUGAUGUCCCUG
Mus caroli (Ryukyu mouse) is the source of this 776-nucleotide non-coding RNA. Lineage: Eukaryota; Metazoa; Chordata; Mammalia; Rodentia; Muridae. The record is from RefSeq and is a predicted model, not a curated record.